Molecule: ribosomal RNA, 425 nt
Filed under: Botia sp.
Lineage: Eukaryota; Metazoa; Chordata; Actinopteri; Cypriniformes; Botiidae
Description: partial 16S ribosomal RNA
Rfam family: Bacterial large subunit ribosomal RNA
Source: RNAcentral
UUUUGACCGUGCAAAGGUAGCGCAAUCACUUGUCUUUUAAAUGAAGACCUGUAUGAAUGGCCAAACGAGGGCUUAACUGUCUCCCUUUUCAAGUCAGUGAAAUUGAUCUGCCCGUGCAGAAGCGGGCAUACACAUACAAGACGAGAAGACCCUUUGGAGCUUAAGGUACAAACCCACCCAUGUUAAACAACUACUUUAAAAGCAUAAACCUAAUGGAAAAUGGAGUUUUACCUUCGGUUGGGGCGACCACNGAGAAAAAANGAUCCUNCGANUGGACUGGGACUACAANCCUAAUACCAAGAAAGACAUUUCUAAGUCACAGAAAAUCUGACCAACUAUGAUCCGGCUACCAAAGCCGAUCAACGAACCAAGUUACCCUAGGGAUAACAGCGCAAUCCUCUCCCAGAGUCCAUAUCGACGAGAGG